UACGGAAGGGGCUAGCGUUGUCCGGAAUUACUGGGCGUAAAGAGCGCGUAGGCGGCUUACCAAGUUGGGGGUGAAAUCCCGGAGCUCAACUCCGGAACUGCCUUCAAAACUGGUAGGCUCGAGUCCGGAAGAGGGGCGUGGAAUUCCAAGUGUAGAGGUGAAAUUCGUAGAUAUUGGGAAGAACACCGGUGGCGAAGGCGGCGCCCUGGUCCGGUACUGACGCUGAGGCGAGAAAGCGUGGGGAGCAAACAGG
RNAcentral lists this ribosomal RNA (253 nucleotides) under uncultured bacterium. RNAcentral's name for it is "partial 16S ribosomal RNA". It matches the Rfam family "Bacterial small subunit ribosomal RNA", at positions 524 to 776 of the family's 1533-position model. The record is from RNAcentral.